GAAGUGUGUUUACUACAGCGGCUCUGACUGGGGACUCUGCUCGCGAUUCAGUCUCUAAUUUUUAGACGGCAGCCGCUCCAUCUCAAAACCGUCGACCCUUGCCCAGACGCUAGACUCUCUGCCUCUGUCCCUUUCCUCCGCGGACGAGUCGCCGUUGCCUGGAAGCGCCCACAGUGACCAGAGGCCCCGUGUGAGGCAAGAUUUAGCCCCGCCCUCGGGGGCCGUGAGCGGCCACCAUUGGCCGAGGCUCUCCGAGACCCGGAUGAGCACGGGUAUGCGGGGAGUUCGCGAGCGCGCGCUCAGUUCCGGUCCACAGUUUGGGGAAGUCUAUGAUCAAGGACCAGGCAGUUUAGAUGUCUGCUAAAGUCGGGUGAGUUUAACCAUUUUUUUCUUUCAGCUAAUAUUCAUUGAGCUCUUGGUAUCGGGUGUUAUGUUGUUUACGUAAUUAUCACAUUUAAUUCUCUUAGCAACCCUGUGAGGCCGAUACUCUUGUCAUCUUCUUUUCUCAGAGAGGAAACUGAGGUACACAGGAGUUAGGACCUUAGCCUAGGGUCAGAUCAGCACACACACACUCUUGUCUCUCCAGUUCGGCAAGAGGCAGAGCACCAUUCCCUCUCUGCAUUCAACCAAUUCAUACACACCACCUUCUGAAUGCUUAAUAGUGACUGGGCCUCUCAAAUACCAAGCAGGACCCAGAGCCAAGGGCUGCAAAAGGAUGGACUUCAGGAAAUGCAGCCAUGGGAACAUGGAAGAUGGGUGGGGAGUCAGGUGGAUGUGGUAGAGGAGAGAACUAGAGGACCUGAGGUCUAAGGGGAAAUCUUGGGGACACACAAACACACACAAAAAGGAAAAAUCAAUUACUUCUCCAAACAAACUGGGGCGUUUAAAAAUAUUGAUUAGUGGGAGUUCCUGCUGUGGCUCAGUGGGUUAUGAACCUGACGGGUAUCCAUAAGGAUGAGGGUUGGAUCCCUGGCCUUGGUCAGUGGGUUAAGGAUCUGGCAUUGCCGCAAUCUGUGGUAUAGGUCGCGGAUGUGGCUCAGAUCCUGCAUUGCUAUGGUUGUGGUUGUGGCACCAGCCUGCCACUGCUGCUCCAAUUCUACCCCUAGCCUGGGAACAUCCACAGGUUGCAGAUGCAGCCCUAAAAAGAAAAAAAAAUACAUAUCAAUUAGUCCAAGUUCUCUUUUGGCACCAGUGGUUUAAGAAUCCUGCAUUGGCUUGGGUUGCUGUUGUGGCAUGGGUUUGAUCCCUGGCCAGGAACUUCCAAAUGCUGAGAGCACAGUCAAAAAAAAAAAAAAAAAAAAAAAAAAA
RNAcentral lists this long non-coding RNA (1308 nucleotides) under Sus scrofa (pig). Its description in RNAcentral is "lncRNA (ENSSSCG00055016005.1)". Lineage: Eukaryota; Metazoa; Chordata; Mammalia; Artiodactyla; Suidae. The record is from RNAcentral.